GUGAGUCAUCGAAUCUUUGAACGCAUAUUGCGCUCGAGGCUUCGGCCAAGAGCAUGUCUGCCUCAGCGUCGGGUUCCCCCUCUCAUCCCCUCUCACCUGCUCAUUCACUUGAGUAAGAGUAUAAUAGAGGGCGGUGGAUUUUGACAGUCUCUGAGACCUUGACUGGUCUCGGUGUCUGACUAAGCGCUCGCUUCGCCUUGAGCCGCCGCACCUUGUCAAUCAUUGACGGCCGCAGCUGGGUAUGCAGCUUUACUGUUGCUACUCGUGAGUCUGCCGGUCAUUCAAGACACGUGUGCCUCG
This 300-nucleotide unclassified non-coding RNA is filed under the name uncultured fungus. Its description in RNAcentral is "sequence contains 5.8S rRNA gene, ITS2". The stretch from base 1 to 71 matches the Rfam family "5.8S ribosomal RNA", at positions 84 to 154 of the family's 154-position model. Lineage: Eukaryota; Fungi. The record is from RNAcentral.